UUUGAAUAAAACGGUGUGUUUGAAUAGAACUAUGGAGGUUAUAUUAUAUAGUGAAUUUUACAGUUUAUUGUAUUAAUUACAUAAGGAAUAUACUAUAGUAUAUUCUACUAUAAAUAGGCUAAACAAUAUUCUAUGAAAUAUUCUAUAUAAAAUAUUAACAUAAUUGAUUCUUAACAAUGAUAUUACUCAUGACUGCCUUGAAGAUCUAUUAUGUCUUGGAUCAUGCAUUGGCACUGAUUCCAGAACCGUAAGAC
RNAcentral lists this long non-coding RNA (254 nucleotides) under Lathyrus oleraceus (garden pea). Its description in RNAcentral is "Pisum sativum (pea) long non-coding RNA (PSAT_LNC026511)". The record is from RNAcentral. Lineage: Eukaryota; Viridiplantae; Streptophyta; Magnoliopsida; Fabales; Fabaceae.